UACGAAGGGAGCUAGCGUUGUUCGGAAUAACUGGGCGUAAAGGGCGUGUAGGUGGAUGUGUGCGUUAGAUGUGAAAGCCCCGGGCUCAACCUGGGAAUGGCAUUUAAUACGGCACAUCUAGAGUGCGAGAGGGGAAAGCAGAAUGGCGAGUGGAGCAGUGAAAUGCAUUGAGAUUCGCUAGAACACCAGAGGCGAAGGCGGCUUUCUGGCUCGCAACUGACACUAAGACGCGAAGGCGUGGGGAGCAAACAGG
RNAcentral lists this ribosomal RNA (253 nucleotides) under uncultured bacterium. RNAcentral's name for it is "partial 16S ribosomal RNA". It matches the Rfam family "Bacterial small subunit ribosomal RNA", at positions 524 to 776 of the family's 1533-position model. The record is from RNAcentral.